UUUGGGUUUGGGUCCCCUCUUCUUGGGCCCAUACAGCUCACGCUCCCUCUCCUUUUGUUCGAAGGCUGCAAUGAGCCGCGAGUCCAGGAUGUUCUCCUCGGGCUCCCAAGUGCUGUACUUGAUCGCCCACCCCUUCCAUUUCACCAGGUACUCGAUGCGUCCCUUUCGGAUCCGCCGUUUGAUGAUGGAUUCGGCCGCGAAGACCCGCUCGCCCACUGCAG
Molecule: unclassified non-coding RNA, 221 nt
Filed under: Hevea brasiliensis (rubber tree)
Lineage: Eukaryota; Viridiplantae; Streptophyta; Magnoliopsida; Malpighiales; Euphorbiaceae
Source: RNAcentral